Molecule: ribosomal RNA, 492 nt
Filed under: uncultured bacterium
Lineage: Bacteria
Description: bacterial SSU rRNA
Rfam family: Bacterial small subunit ribosomal RNA
Source: RNAcentral
GAUUAGAGUUUGAUCCUGGCUCAGAUUGAACGCUGGCGGAAUGCUUUACACAUGCAAGUCGAGCGGCAGCGCGGGGGCAACCCUGGCGGCGAGCGGCGAACGGGUGAGUAACAUAUCGGAACGUACCCUAUCGUGGGGGAUAACACAUCGAAAGAUGUGCUAAUACCGCAUACGACCUGAGGGUGAAAGCAGGGGAUCGCAAGACCUUGCGCGACAGGAGCGGCCGAUAUCGGAUUAGCUAGUUGGUGAGGUAAAGGCUCACCAAGGCGACGAUCCGUAGCUGGUCUGAGAGGACGACCAGCCACACUGGAACUGAGACACGGUCCAGACUCCUACGGGAGGCAGCAGUGGGGAAUUUUGGACAAUGGGGGCAAGCCUGAUCCAGCCAUUCCGCGUGAGUGAAGAAGGCCUUCGGGUUGUAAAACUCUUUCGGCAGGAACGAAACGGUGAGCUCUAACAUAGCUUGCUAAUGACGGUACCGAAGAAGAAGCC